Molecule: ribosomal RNA, 468 nt
Filed under: Triticum aestivum (bread wheat)
Lineage: Eukaryota; Viridiplantae; Streptophyta; Magnoliopsida; Poales; Poaceae
Description: partial small subunit ribosomal RNA
Source: RNAcentral
AUGGCAAUGGCAAUCUGCCUGCCGCCAUUUGUCACUGACGCGAUGGUGUCCAGUCAAGUUCUACGCGUGGUCCAUCUCUUGACCCCAGGAAAUCAAGAUGCAACACGGAAGCUUUUCGUUGAGCAUCCACAGAUUAGGGCCAAAUCCAGUGCCCCGGUGCGGUUAUUCGGGACUUUGUCAAACCAUGUGACGCAGCUUUUGACUACUUUUCAGCACGAGAUCAACACACAGGAGAUGCAUCCACACAAAAGUCUAGACAUCAGGACGCUGUAUGCCGGUCACCCGGUGAGGACGAUCAAAUUCUUUCAUCAUUUUCCUCUUAACAUCUUUUCGUGGCCAGGAUCACGCCGAUUGGCAAGCGGAGAGGGUCGCAUCUCGCCUCUGGCCAAAUGGUUGCAUAUCAUUAUCAACAUACCACCUUCUUGCAAAAAGAUACGCAAUGCUUAUGUGUGUUCGAGGAAAAAGUAG